CUCUUCCUCGCCUACGAACUUCCUCAUCCCCAUUCUCCUCCUCCUUCCGAUCUCUUUCUCCGGCCAAAUUCAUCUCCAUAAAGGAGAACAUUAUAUGACAGUAUAGCAUAGAGAAAGAUCAUGGCUGUAGAGGCUUUUGCCAAAACAAAUUUGAUGGAAGAUAUGGAUGAUGACGAUGACAUGCCUUUAGUUUUCAAACGAAGUAGUACCACAUCAAAGCAAAAUCAGUCCAAUUCAUCAUCUCAGAAGCAGGAUGGAAGAUCGGGGCGGCAAGUUCCUGAUAUACGUUCACCUAAUGGCCAGAGCUCUAGUACUCAUAAAGUUAAGACAGUCACCUCUUCUAAGGCAUCUCCAGCAGUUUCACCUUUAACUAGUCCAAAAGCGUCGCCUCUGUCAAGCAGGACAUCUCCUGCACCAAACUCAAGGCCGUCAUCUUCUGCAGGUAAUCAGGCAAAAAAAUGUUAAUCAACAAUCCAAUGUUACUCCUAAGGAGUCGAAACAAGCUGUUGAACCAAAAUCUGAACCUAAUGAUGAAGCUGAGGAUUCUGAUGAUGAUAAACUAUUGAGUUCUAGGGUCCCUUCUGGGUUAUCUAAGAGCACUUCUGUUCAUGCCAAGAAAGUGCUUUGUACUUCAACAUCAGUUCAGAAGUCUAGACCUCCCAAAAAAGAGGAUUCAGAUGAUGAAACUCCCUUAGCAUCAAGGUUUCCAAUGAAAUCCAAUGCAGGGGCUUCCACUAGCAAGUUUUCUAGUUCUGAAGAAGUUAAGCCUAAGAUUCGUCAGAAUGGUUUGCCAUCUGCGACAGUUUUAAGUAAGAGACCCCCUGGUGAGGUCAAGUCUGCUGCUCAGGCUUCAGUUAAAAAGCCUAGACUUUCUGAUGCGUCCACACCUGUUUCUAGUAAGCAACCGCCUUUCAAAACUGAAAAGAAGACAGAGGACGAUGACGACGAUGUUCCUAUAUCUCAGAGGAUAAAAAAGGCAGUAGAUUCAGCUUCAGCUUCAGCUAGUAAAGUGUCAUAUGUGAAGAAAGCAACUAAAGUUGUUUCGUCAUCGAUGAAGAAAACAAAGAAGAAGUUGAAAAAACCCAAGUACUCUAAGUCGUCAAAACUGCAGCCAAGCUCUGGUGAUGGGCAAAAAUGGACUACACUGGAACACAAUGGUGUGAUUUUUCCACCUCCAUACAAACCUCAUGGGGUUAAGAUGCUCUACAAGGGAAAGCCCGUGGAUCUUACUCCAGAGCAGGAAGAGGUCGCAACAAUGUAUGCCGUGAUGUUAGACACUGAAUACAUGACUAAAGAGCAGUUCAAAGAGAAUUUCAUGAAUGACUGGAGAAAAAUACUUGGAAAAAACCAUGUCAUUCAAAAGUUAGAAGAGUGUGAUUUUACCCCAAUAUAUGAGUGGCAUCAGAGUGAGAAGGAGAAGAAGAAGCAAAUGAGUUCAGAAGAGAAGAAGGCAUUGAGAGAAGAGAAACUUAAGCAAGAAGAGAAAUACAUGUGGGCUAUUGUGGAUGGUGUUAAAGAGAAGGUUGGGAACUUUCGGGUUGAACCACCUGGAUUGUUCCGAGGCCGCGGGGAACAUCCAAAGAUGGGAAAGCUAAAGAGACGGAUCCGGCCAAAUGAUAUCACAAUAAAUAUUGGAAAGGGUGUUCCAGUACCGGAGUGCCCCAUCCCUGGCCAAAGGUGGAAGGAAGUAAGGCAUGACAACACAGUAACAUGGUUAGCUUUCUGGAACGACCCUAUUAAUCCAAGAGAAUUCAAAUACGUUUUCCUAGCAGCCAGUAGUUCCUUGAAAGGGCAAAGUGAUAAGGAGAAGUAUGAGAAAGCUAGGCGUUUGAAGGAUUACAUAGAAGGCAUUAGAUCUGCAUAUACAAAAGAUUUUGCAAGUAAAGAUCCUGUGAAGCGUCAGAUUGCAGUUGCAACUUAUCUUAUCGAUAAAUUAGCUCUGAGGGCAGGGAAUGAGAAGGAUGAUGACGAAGCUGAUACAGUUGGUUGCUGUACUUUGAAAGUAGAGAAUGUAGAGCCAGUACCUCCAAAUAUUUUGAAGUUCGAUUUUCUUGGUAAAGAUUCUAUCAGGUACCAAAAUGAGGUGGCUGUGUAUGAGCCUGUUUUUAAAGCUAUUCAACAGUUCCGAAGUGGAAAAAAGGGCAGUGACGAUCUUUUUGACAAGCUUGAUACGAGUAAGCUUAAUGCCCAUCUAAAGGAACUCAUGCCAGGGCUCACAGCAAAAGUAUUUCGUACAUAUAAUGCAUCUUUUACAUUGGAGCAGCAAUUGACUAAGCUCACACAAGGGGGGGAGCUUGCUGAUAAAAUUGCGGUAUAUAAUGUGGCAAAUAAAGAGGUUGCAAUAAUUUGUAAUCACCAGCGUACUGUCUCGAAGUCCCAUAGCGUGCAAAUUUCAAGGUUGAAUAACAAGAUAGAUGAGUUAAAGGCUAUUUUGGAAGAAUUCAAAGUAGAUUUGGCUCGGGCCAAAAAAGGGAAGCCUCCGGUGAAAGGCGCCGAUGGCAAGGCGAAGAGGAACUUGACCCCUCAAGCAUUACAGAUAAAAAUAGACCAAACUAAUGUGAAGAUUGAUAACAUAGAGAGGCAAAUAGAUACUAAAGAAGAGUUGAAAACUGUGGCUUUGGGCACAUCAAAAAUCAACUAUUUGGAUCCUAGGAUUACUGUGGCAUGGUGUAAGCGCCAUGAGGUUCCCAUUGAAAAGAUGUUCAACAAGUCUCUUCUAGCAAAGUUUGCCUGGGCGAUGGAUGUUGAACCUUCCUUCACAUUCUAAAUUUUUGGUGGUUGUUAUAGUGUAGGACAUCUCUUCAAAGUCAAGUCUCCCUCCUAAUACCCAAUUGUUCACAUUUCCCCCUUCCUCCCUCCUGGAAAGAGAAUAGGAAAAAAGUUCUAUUAUUUUUGCACUUAAAAAAGAAGAAAAAAAAAGAGAUCUUUGAUCGUUGUCUGACAAUAUUUAAACUUGUUUACCCUGACAAAUUCCUGUUGUAAUUUGAGCUUCUUCUGAAUUU
Molecule: unclassified non-coding RNA, 3002 nt
Filed under: Hevea brasiliensis (rubber tree)
Lineage: Eukaryota; Viridiplantae; Streptophyta; Magnoliopsida; Malpighiales; Euphorbiaceae
Source: RNAcentral